Molecule: long non-coding RNA, 564 nt
Organism: Sinocyclocheilus anshuiensis
Lineage: Eukaryota; Metazoa; Chordata; Actinopteri; Cypriniformes; Cyprinidae
Exons: 3
Source: RefSeq, a predicted model, not a curated record
AAAAUGCAAGCACAGCCCCUCUGCGAAGAGACCUUUCGAGACCCAGAUCUGGACAUGUAGCAAGAGGUUGGGCCAGGGAUGGCUAUCGCUCAAGGUCCAGCGGUGGAUCCAGCAUCAGGUCCAGACAUAGUGAUGUCUCCAGAUACAGGUCCAGGUCCAAGUCCUGGUACAGUGAUGGUUCGAGGCACACCGUCAGGUCCAGACAUGACGGGUCAAGGCACAGUGAUGGUUUGAGACACGCCGGCAAGUCCAGAUAUGACGUGUCACGACACAGGUCCAGACAUGACAGAUCACGCCAUAGUGACGCCUCCAGAUGCAAUGACAGAUCCCGUAGUGAUGCCUCCAGGCCCCCCGCCAGGUCAAGUCAUAAUGAAAGAUCACGGCACGGUGAUCUCACCAGCCCCCCUUAUGAAAGGCCAAGGCAUGGUGAGUUGUUUAAGACCACAAAUUUCAUCUAAGCACUUUGCAAUUCAGUGAGUAGUGUUGAUGCACCCCUAAUCGUUACAAUAUUAAUUUAUUAUUUAUCUUCUAAUGCGACCCAAAUCUAUUGAAAGUUGUCAUUUG